Long non-coding RNA from Varanus komodoensis (Komodo dragon), 1324 nucleotides. RefSeq lists it as uncharacterized. Lineage: Eukaryota; Metazoa; Chordata; Lepidosauria; Squamata; Varanidae. The record is from RefSeq and is a predicted model, not a curated record. The transcript is spliced from 3 exons.
UGGUGGCGGCGGCGGAGGGCGAGCAAAACCAGCUGCAAAGAUGGAGGAGAAGAGGAAAAGGAGGAGGUGGUUGUGGUUAUGAAGGGCUGCCGUGGCAGGGACAGCCGGUUAUAGUUUUCCUUUUUUUUCUUGGUGGUGGUGGUGGUGGUGGGGAGGAAGAAGAGCUACAACUGGGACAAGACGGGCCCAGUAAUUGCAAGCUUUCCAUCCUGCACGAACAUCUUCAAGAAAAGCAGCAGCAGCAGGAACGCGCCAUUUUCCCGAAAUUCUGGCAGGAUUUCCCUAGAAGGACUUGCCUCUUUUGCCACAAGGGAUGUCCCAACAGUGUUGGCAGAACAGCAUCUAAGCAUCUCCGCUGUCAGCCCCUGCUCCUUACCUGAACAUCACCAGAGAUCUAACUCUCCAAGCAGCUGCCGCCGCCUUCUUCCUGAUUAUUCAUCAGGCAGCCACCUACCAAGAAGGACAACAUGAACUCUAAGAAUGAGUCAGCCACUGCACACUGGGUCAACAUUUUCAUCGAACUGUCUACCACAAUCCCAAGAUCUCUUUCCUGAUCAAUCACCACUAUCUCAGUGCCCAUCAGCUUAUGUGCAGAAUUGAGUUAUUUUGCCCUAACAUUCAGCACUUUACUCUUACUUACAUCGAACUUAGUUUGCCAUUUUAAUGUCUGUUCUCCCAGUUUGGAGAGAUCCUUUUGGGGUUCCUUGUAAUCCCUUUCUGUUGUAACUAGCCUAAAGAAUUUGAUGUUGUUAACAAACUUUGUCUCCUCUGUCCUAAUUCUGGUUAAUUUAUGAACAAAUUGAAACACCUGCGUUCCAAUACAGCUUCCUGUGAGAUGCCACUGCUUACAUCCUCCUAUUGGGUGAAUUUACCAUUUAUUCCUGCACUAUGAUUUCUGUUCUUUAGUUAGUUACUGAUCCAUUAGAAGACCACUGUUCUUGUUCUGUGUCUGCUAAGUUUGCCUGGGAGUCUGUGCAUAAUGGGGUCCUCUCCAUACCAUAUGAGCCAACCUCUUCUUUGCCCUACCCCAUUAGGUAUUGACCAAGCAUGAGUACUACCUGCUGGGAGAAUAGGAAAUACUUCUCAGUUCUGCUUGAGGAGAAUUGCCCAGGGUGAGGAAUGUACUUAAAUUGCAUAUUUUAUUUACAAAUAAACUUCCUGAGAGAUGGAGGGCAAGUGUUACCUCAGAAAGUAAAGUGAACCUUUAUUCAGAAGAGAAGACAAGGCUGCUACUUCUGAAGAUGUGUAAAUGAUAUGCAAAACACAUCAGAUGUAAAAAAGAUUGAAGUGUCUUUGCAAUUAAAUAAAACUAUUUUCUUUAGCA